CACAUGACUCUCAGCAACGGAUAUCUAGGCUCUUGCAUCGAUGAAGAACGUAGCAAAAUGCGAUACCUGAUGUGAAUUGCAGAAUCCCGUGAACCAUCAAGUUUUUGAACGCAAGUUGCGCCUAAGGCCUUUUGGCUGAGGGCACGUCUGCCUGGGCGUCACGU
Molecule: ribosomal RNA, 164 nt
Filed under: Dinebra somalensis
Lineage: Eukaryota; Viridiplantae; Streptophyta; Magnoliopsida; Poales; Poaceae
Description: 5.8S ribosomal RNA
Rfam family: 5.8S ribosomal RNA
About the family: 5.8S ribosomal RNA (5.8S rRNA) is a component of the large subunit of the eukaryotic ribosome. It is transcribed by RNA polymerase I as part of the 45S precursor that also contains 18S and 28S rRNA. Functionally, it is thought that 5.8S rRNA may be involved in ribosome translocation.
Source: RNAcentral